Molecule: ribosomal RNA, 253 nt
Filed under: uncultured bacterium
Lineage: Bacteria
Description: partial 16S ribosomal RNA
Rfam family: Archaeal small subunit ribosomal RNA
Source: RNAcentral
UACCAGCACCCCGAGUGGUCGGGACGUUUAUUGGGCCUAAAGCAUCCGUAGCCGGUUCUACGAGUCUUCCGUUAAAUCCACCUGCUUAACAGAUGGGCUGCGGAAGAUACUAUGGAGCUAGGAGGCGGGAGAGGCAAGCGGUACUCGAUGGGUAGGGGUAAAAUCCGUUGAUCCAUUGAAGACCACCAGUGGCGAAGGCGGCUUGCCAGAACGCGCUCGACGGUGAGGGAUGAAAGCUGGGGGAGCAAACCGG